CCUACGGGAGGCUGCAGUGGGGAAUAUUGCACAAUGGGGGAAACUCUGAUGCAGCGACGCCGCGUGAGUGAAGAAGUAAUUCGUUACGUAAAGCUCUAUCAGCAGGGAAGAAAAUGACGGUACCUGAGUAAGACGCCCCGGCUAACUACGUGCCAGCAGCCGCGGUAAUACGGAGGGGGCAAGCGUUAUCCGGAUUUACUGGGGGUAAAGGGCGCGUAGACGGGUCGCCAAGUCUGGAGUGAAAUGCCGCGGCUUAACUGCGGAACUGCUUUGGAAACUGGCGAACUAGAGUGCGUGAGGGGUAAGCGGAAUUCCUAGUGUAGCGGUGAAAUGCGUAGAUAUUAGGAGGAACACCGGUGGCGAAGGCGGCUUACUGGACCGUAACUGACGUUGAGGCUCGAAAGCGUGGGGAGCAAACAGGAUUAGAUACCCGGGUAGUC
Molecule: ribosomal RNA, 440 nt
Filed under: uncultured bacterium
Lineage: Bacteria
Description: partial 16S ribosomal RNA
Rfam family: Bacterial small subunit ribosomal RNA
Source: RNAcentral